This 476-nucleotide ribosomal RNA is filed under the name uncultured organism. RNAcentral's name for it is "partial 16S ribosomal RNA". It matches the Rfam family "Bacterial small subunit ribosomal RNA", at positions 334 to 801 of the family's 1533-position model. The record is from RNAcentral.
CACUCCUGCGGGAGGCAGCAGUGGGGAAUAUUGCACAAUGGGCGCAAGCCUGAUGCAGCCAUGCCGCGUGUAUGAAGAAGGCCUUCGGGUUGUAAAGUACUUUCAGCGGGGAGGAAGGCGAUAAGGUUAAUAACCUUGUCGAUUGACGUUACCCGCAGAAGAAGCACCGGCUAACUCCGUGCCAGCAGCCGCGGUAAUACGGAGGGUGCAAGCGUUAAUCGGAAUUACUGGGCGUAAAGCGCACGCAGGCGGUCUGUCAAGUCGGAUGUGAAAUCCCCGGGCUCAACCUGGGAACUGCAUUCGAAACUGGCAGGCUAGAGUCUUGUAGAGGGGGGUAGAAUUCCAGGUGUAGCGGUGAAAUGCGUAGAGAUCUGGAGGAAUACCGGUGGCGAAGGCGGCCCCCUGGACAAAGACUGACGCUCAGGUGCGAAAGCGUGGGGAGCAAACAGGAUUAGAUACCCCUGUAGUCCCAUGAU